This 63-nucleotide transfer RNA is filed under the name Dipodomys ordii (Ord's kangaroo rat). It matches the Rfam family "tRNA". Rfam says of the family: Transfer RNA (tRNA) molecules are approximately 80 nucleotides in length. Lineage: Eukaryota; Metazoa; Chordata; Mammalia; Rodentia; Heteromyidae. The record is from Rfam by way of RNAcentral.
GGGGAGUUGGCUCAGUGGUAGAGCAUUUGCCUCUCAUGCAUGAGCCCUGGAUUCGAUUCCUCA